This is a non-coding RNA of Arabidopsis thaliana (thale cress), 149 nucleotides long. Lineage: Eukaryota; Viridiplantae; Streptophyta; Magnoliopsida; Brassicales; Brassicaceae. The record is from RefSeq.
AUAAUGAUUGGUGAGUUUGAUGAAAAUGGACUGUGGAGGAAAACAAAUAGCAGUCAAACACCGAUUAGAACACCACUUACGUACGUCUUCUAAUCGAUAUUUUACUGCUACUUGUGUUCCUCAAGAGUACUUCAAACUCACAUCAUUAU